ACCUUUUUAAAAUCAAACAGGAAGAAUCUAGAUAGAGAUCUCUUCUAGAAUUUUACUAAAUAACAUUGUACUAGAACUACCUUUUCUAGAAUAUUUCUAGACUUCUCUCUCCAGAAUACUCAUUCUGGAGAUCUUUCUUCAAUUCUCUACAACUGCGGAAUAUUUUACAUUUUUUUGGACUUGUCAUAAAUAAAUAAUUAGGUUGGUGAGAAAUCAACCCACUAAUACAGAAAAGGAAAUUGAAUCCUUUCACAGAAGCCCCUUAUAUUUUUAUCUAGAUAGUAUUGUGGGGUAAAAAAGGGAAAUUGCUCAUGAAUAUCGUGAAGAGAGAACUAAAGGUAACUUCAAUACGCAACUUAAGAAAACUUCCAAAUCUAAUGAAUUUGAAAAUAGAAAAUGCAAAUAUGAAAUGAGGGAUAUGCAUUGUUUAGUUAAUCAUCAUAUAUCAUAUCAUAUAUCUAUAUAAAAUAAAACCUUAGGAUCGUCUACGUGACGCCAACACAAACAAGAAUUUUCUUUUUACUUAUUAAUUUCCAAAACUAGCCUUCGUCUUUCAUUAAAAGUUGUGAGAUUUAUGAAAUUUUUUGACUUUUAUGAAAAGUUGCUAUUUUUAUGAAAAGUUGUGACUUCUACGAAAAGGUGCGAAUUUAAAGAAUAGUUGAGACUUUUAUGUAAAGUGGUGAUUUUUAUGAAAGUUUGUCACCUUACAGUAGGGUUGCAACUUUUCCAAAUAGUUGUAACAUUUCCGAUAAGACACAAUAAAUAUUUGUUCAAACUACCCUUUGUUGUCAAUAAAUAAAGGGAUUUCCUCUCAUUUUAGAACAACGAAAAUUCUGAAUUUGUGUACUUUGCUUAUGUUGAGUGGCUCAGAGACACCAUUUUUCUUAUUAUUACAAAUUCUAGCACUUUUUUUUUACAGACAUUAAUUUGUGCUUAUGUUAUUAAGAAUAAAUGAUAAGAUGUCAUAAUUUUUAUUUUCCUUUACAUUAUUAAUGAUUGUUACUGCAUAAUCUUGUAUGUAAGAUAAUAUAGUGUUUUAUUUUUAAUGACCCGUAGAUUUUAAAAAUUCUGUAAUAUUUUCGGGAAGAAGCGGGGGUAAUUUUACUAGUACUAGCACAUGAUUCAAUUUUGCUGCCCAGACUAUAUAAAAAUGUCAAUGGGUGUGUUGUAUUUAUCAAAACUAAUGUAACCUUGGAGAAUACGACACAUUUUGAACGUCAAAAGUGAAAAAAUUGAACAACAUAGCAUAUAAUUACUUAAAACGUAAAGUAGAUUUCAAUUAAUUAAGUACAUGUUGUUUAAGUUGAGUAGCUUUUCCUGAAAGAAGAGGAGCACUUGAACUUCUUGUCUGGUUUUCGUUAUCUAAUUAUGUCAAUUAUAAUUGUAAUUUUCAUUGUAGUUUGUUCAAAAAAAAGUUCAUAUAACAACUACAAUUACAUGCGCCUCGGUCCCAAACAAGUUAGGAUCGUGACUAAUCCAUAAAGUAUAUUUCAAUUGUACCUGUUGAUUAUGUUGAGUAGCUUUGCCCUAAAAGAAGAGGAAUGGUUAAACUUCCUGGAUGUUGACCAACAACAUUACUAACUCUAGAUGGAUCUAGAAAAUUAUAAACAUUAGCAUUAUUUUGAAAACUUCCUCUUCUUCCUCUUCCUCUUCCUCUUCCUCUCCCUCACCUACCUUCGUCUCCUUUGAGUACGACUACUUGACAUGUUGUGUUGAUUCAAAACUUGAUCAUCAUCAACAAGUAGUGUAGUAUUUACAAUGGAAGAUAUUUAUUUAAGCUUUCUCCUUGAACUUGAUAACAUUCCUCCUCUUGUUGUCGCUGUUACAAGUUCAAGGGGAAAGCAGAAAUCAAUUUCAUCCAUCAAAAGUGCUACACUACUUAUUGAUAAUUAUCAAGUUUUGAAUCAACACAACAUCUCAAGUAGUAAUACUCAAAGGGGAUGAGGUAGGUGAGGGAGAGAAAGAGGAACAGGAACAGGAACAGGAAGAAGACGAUGGUCGUAAAAUAAUGCUAUUGUGGAUCAUUUUCAAGAUUCAUCUAGAUUUAGACAUGUUGUAGAUCUGAAUUAGGGAGAUACACAUCCAGGCCAUUCUCUUCUUUAAGAAAAAUCUACUAAACAUAUACCAACGGGUACAAUAGAAAUCUACUUUAUGUUUUAGUCAUGAUCCUAACUUUCUUUGGACUGAGGCACAUGUGUUAAUAGAUGUUAUAUGGAUUUUAUUUUUUAGACAAAACUAUAAUGAAAAACUCAAUUAUAAUAUAAGACAAAGAAAGAUAAGCAGGAAGUUCAAGUGCUCCUCUUCAUUCAGGAAAAGCUACUUAACUAAAACAUCUACUUAAUAAGUUGAAAGUCACUUUAUGUAUUAAGUAAUCAUAUGCUAAGUUGUAAAAAUAUUUCCCUUUUGAGGUUGCACAUAUGUCUUAUUCUAUAAAUUACACUACUUUUUGAGAACAACACACACAUCCAUUGAUAUUUUUAAAGAGUCCAAGCAGCAUAAUAAUGUCAUAUGCUACUAUUGGCAAAUUAUUUCUUCUGUAGUCCUUCAACUUCGAAUGUUCAAAAUCGUCUGCGACUGAGAAAUGUAACUUCUUGUACAUGCAUACUCUUCUAAUUAAACGUAUUUUCUAAUGAUAUCUCAAAGGAAAAUUCUUUUUACAUGGUUGGAAUCCGAGCUAAAUGUAGGUUGAAUUUUGUUAGUUAACCUGAAAUAAUUAUUUUUAUCUUGAACUAUAUGUUUAUGUAAAUCACACUGAUUCUCAAUUUGUUGAAACUUGGAACUUGGCAUGGUAAACAAUAAAUUCUAAAUAUUUUGUUGACUGUUGGACCCCCAAGAUCCAUGGGGCGAAUCUAUACUUGUCCUAAGAGAGUCAUUGACAACUCUUAGAUAAAAAUGCAGACUCACUUCACAUAGAGGACGACUAGACUUUCUAUGUGAUCAUAUAUAAAUAUAUAUAUAUAUAUAUAUAUAUAUAUAUAGACAUCAUUCUAACCACAAUUGACAAGGCAUAAUGUGGACUCCCUUCACAUAGAGGACGACUAGACUCUUCUAUGUGAUCAUACAAGCGUCUUCCUUCUUUAUUAGGAGUUUCAUCAAAAUAUUGUUCGGUUUUCAUCCCACCUUGAACCUUGAAAUCACCAUUGAUCAUUUCAUGAACCCUAUUAUGUUCAUAUUCCCUCACAUAUAAGAUGACGAGACUCUUCUAUGUGAUCAUAUAAGUGUCUUCCUUCUUCAUUAGGAGCUACAUCAAAAUAUUAUUCGAGUUCCAGCCCACCUUGAACUUUUAAAGAACCAUUGAUCAUUUCAUCAAUCCUAUCAUGUUCAAUCCUAUCAAUGUUCAACCAUAUUAUAAUGUUCAACUCUAUUAUCAUGUUUCACCCUAAUUUGGCCAUAUGGUGCAAAUUUACUAUGUUCAUCAAGUUCACAUUCCUAAUUAAGUUUAACUUAUAACAAAUCUAAAUUAUAAUAAAUUAUAAGUUCUAAUUAAGUUAGUUAUUCAAUUUAAAAAUUCUUUAACUUGAAAAUCACUUCAUCAAUUCCCAACUAAAUAAUAUUUGCACAAUUCACUUACACUCAAAAGUCAAAAUACUUGAUCAAUUACUAAUAGAAAAGAUAAAAGAUAGUCAUGGUAAAUAUAUUCAUCACAUUCCAACAUCUAUUUUGUACUCAAAACACUUCAAUUACUAACUUCUAACUUUAAAUUAAAAAUUCAAUAUCAACUCAAGCAAUACCCUAAUUCAAAGUAGUCCUAAAUCCUCAAAUUCAGACUAGUUCACAAUAAUUAUAAGAUCACUCAAAGAUAGUCAAUACAUAUAGUUGAAUUAAUACUACAAGUGAAACAACAAAUGGAGAACUCACACAUGCAUAUAAUUAAGUCAUAAGAUUGAUUUUAAAUGAGUUACUACUUGGAAAUACUAAUUUAAUCAUAAGAAUGAUUUUAAAUGAAUUAGUACCUAAUAAUUGAAUUUAAAUGUAACAAAAUAGACGAACCAUAUCGAAAAAAUGAAGGCAGUGCUUACUAUGUAGCAAUGACAAUGGAAGAUUAAUAUCAAUAAAUAUACAAUUACCGUGAGCUCAGAUCCUGAGGAUUUUGAAUCACUUGCCUCAUGAAAAGCUCCUUCAACUAUGAUUUUCAUUUGUCCAUCUAUUUAAACGACAACCUAAAUUGAAAUUUCAAUAAGAAAUUUGAAGAUAUUGUCACAUGUAUUUUCGAUAUAAAAAUUAAUUGGUAUACCUACAAGAAUAAAUAUUAUUUGUAUCAAGUCUUGAACAUAUCAUCAAAGACAUAAAUAAAUUUAAUUUAUGCAACUAUUAAUUCAAAGUUAUCUGAUACAAAAUCAAAUAUAUUUAAUGCAAGAGGAAUGAUAUUAUUAACAUACACUAAUAUAUACACUUCAUUUUAGUGAGUUAAGUUUGGAAGUAUUUAAUGGAAUAAAUUUAGAACCCUAAUUCUCAAUUAGUUCUUUCAUCAACCCACCCUUAAAUCAACAAGUGUUAAAAUCGAAUAUAUUCUUGAACAAGCUCAAUGAACCAACCAUAUAACAUAUAACAAUUCAUAUGAAGUUAUUUAAGAUUUUCUAUGUGAAUUCAAUUGAAUUGGAAAGGUAUAAAAGUUGAAGCUUAAAAAAUCCGAAAUUCACUAAACAUCAUGAUAAUGCAAUCAAUCUUGACAAAUUCAUAUCAUAUUUAAAUAGAAGUUAUUCAAAACAACUCAAAAGCCAAAUUAUGAUUUUUUACGGCACCGAUGAUUUUCAUACAUAUAGUAAAUUACCCAUUUUAAUUAUAAUCAUAGUAAAACUACAAGUAAAACAAAACAAAAGAAGUACCGAAAAUAAAAGAUAAUAAACAGCAAUCGGAAAAAGAAAAAUGCAAAAUUUAUAAAUGACAUCACAUAAAGUGUUUCCUUUAAAGAGAAAUCAUAAAUAUAAUCAAUUGUAAAAAAACCAAUAAAAAUGAAAAUUAAGAUUAAACAUCUAACAUGGAAAAAAGUAAGAAAUAAAGAGAAAAGAUAUACCUUCCACCUGAAUUGAGAUCUCAGAUUAAAUGAGGAACAAACUCGAUCCAAGAUUAAAGCAACAUUGUUAAUGACCCAGAUAAGGAGGCAAAGAUGUUGAAUCAUCCAAGGCGAGAGCAUUUCAGUUUAUUAGGUGAAAGGAAAGGGGAUCAAAAUGGUGUGGCAAAUGAGCAAACCCUAAUCGUAAGGGACAUGAAUAUAUGGAGAAUGUUGAGG
This 5230-nucleotide long non-coding RNA is filed under the name Solanum lycopersicum (tomato). RNAcentral's name for it is "long non-coding RNA (SLYC_LNC000802)". The record is from RNAcentral. Lineage: Eukaryota; Viridiplantae; Streptophyta; Magnoliopsida; Solanales; Solanaceae.